Molecule: long non-coding RNA, 31142 nt
Filed under: Citrus maxima (pomelo)
Lineage: Eukaryota; Viridiplantae; Streptophyta; Magnoliopsida; Sapindales; Rutaceae
Description: long non-coding RNA (CMAX_LNC000923)
Source: RNAcentral
CGCGCGGCCCGCUGUCUCACCAGAUCUGGUGCGACAGGCGCGCGCCUGUCGCACCAGUUCUUUGGUGCGACAGGCUUGCAUGUCGCACCAGUUUUGGUGCGACAAGCUUGCCUGUCGCACCAGUUUUCUUCUUGCAUGAAAACCAACCGGCUUCAGGACCUGUAGAAGAUAGACAAGAAACUGAAUUCUUUCAUAUUUUCAAUGUUCUCGCUAUUGCCGUAGCUGUCUAUUUGUUGGUCUUUGACAUCACUGGAAAUCAUGGCCGCGUUCUCUCUUUAUAUUUUGCGGUAGGACUCAUUUUCCUUCUGGCUUUACCAUUGGCUGUUCCUUUAUACGUUGUUCUGUUUAAGUCAAAAUCCAACUCAGACAUUGAGCAACCAAGCAGAGAACCAUUGCUUGCCCCUCAAAAAUCUUCAACAUAGAAGCAAGAAAUAGUAACAGCUAUUGUUAAAGUGGAGGAUGCUGAAAGAAACAGAAAACCAUUAAUAGGGGAGGAGCACACAAUUGUGCAAAUGUUACAAACAUAUGAUUUCUGGAUUCUGUUUGCAUCUUUUCUUUGUGGCGUGGGCACAGGAAUGUGUGUGAUGAACAACAUGGGACAGAUGGGGCUGGCACUUGGCUUCAAUGAUGCAUCCAUGCAUGCUUGGAUUUGGAUUAGACAUUUUGCUUGCUGUUAGAACAAAGAAUAUUUAUUCUAAGAGCAAAGUGGAAAAGAAAUUCAUUAGCGAAACAGAGGAUUCAACUUCAAUAAAAAGCUGAGAAUCAGGAUCUUGUAUAGAAGAGCAUUUUUAAACAAAUACAGCCCUACAAUACAAUCAAUAACCAAAGACACGGAGAGUUGAGUUCUUCUCCUGCUUGUCUUGUCUGUAAUUAUUGCUCCAUUUCGGCACAACUCUUGCUUCUCUUAUAAUGUCUCUUUUCUUUCUGUAAAUCUUACAAACAAUUAUAAUAGUGUUCGUUAGCUCGAUUGAUCCUUUGCCUGCUUGGUGCGACAGGUGCCUGUCGCACCAAGACUUGGGCCUGUCGCACCAAGCUUCUUUUCGUUUGUAAAGAAGGGUAAUUUGGGGAGAAAAGCGUGUGUUUGGCUAAUGUUGAUAGAAAAAAGUUGAAAGAGUUAAUUGUGAAAAUAGUAAAAAUUUUAUGGUUAUUUUCGUAAAUUUCCCAAAUAUCAAACACUUGUUCAAUGCAAAUCUUACUUAACUAACAAAAUCUGCCAAUCACAAUGGUGGAUAGCCACUAAUAUCACAACAAUAACGAGUCCCAUAAAUUUUUACUAGAUAAUGAAAUAAAUAAUAAAAAAAAAGUUAUGACCUCACGUAUUACGAGAUAACCAGUGAAAUUUAAAGAAAAAAAAUACAAUAAAGACGAGCUCCAAGAUCGGACAAAAAAAUAAAAAAAAUAGAUGUUGCCGAUUUCGGUCAAUAAUAUUGGAGAAGAUUUCCCUUCAUCAUUUGUUUUAUCUUAUUUUCCUACCUACUACGUUGUCAGUAAAUAUACAAAAAUAACAGCCACGUCAUGUGAUUCAUUUAUUUAUUUUUAAAGAUUUUGUUUCAUGUAUUUUUUAAUUUAUUAACGACGAAUAACUUUUACUCAAAAUUAAUUUAAUUCUGACCUUGACUCAGCCUCAUAAUCUUCUUUUUUUUAUUGUGAGAAGCUCAUGAACAGUAACGUGGCAAAGUGGCGGAAGUGUAGAGCUUGUUUUCUAAUUUAUACAGAGCCUUUUUUUUUUUUUUUGGAGGGGGGGGGGGGGGGGGGGGGGUGGGGGUGUGUGGUGCCAUAUAAUCACACUUGCCCUCUGGAUUUACUGCAACAUAUGCCAAGGUUAAUUUCUGGACUCGUAUUUUUCAUUAAUAUAAUUUUCUAAAUUUUCAUCAAUUGUUUAAUGAAAAAUGAUCAUUGCACCACCUUUAUUUUACUUUAUGUUCAUCCAACAUUAUAUGACGCAGAUAAUUUUUUUUAUCCAACCAAUGCACAAGAUAUAUGACUCAAUUCUUGUCUAAUUCCUUUUUUAAAAAAAAAAAUUAAUAUCUCAUUCAAAUUGGAAGGCGAGAUUUUAUUAAAAAAAUUGGAAGGCAAGUUGAAUAAUAUAUAGUUGCAAUGAUGGAUUUAUUUCUUUAUUAAAUGUAGGGGUAUUUUUAUAAUUAUAAUUUUUUAUUUUCAAAACUUUUACAAGAUAAAAUAAUAUUUUAAUUUAUUUAUGGGUAAAAUUAUUAUUUUGUUUAAAUUAUUUAAUGGUGUUAGUGUAAAAGUGGCUAAUUGAUAUAAAUUUCAAAAGAAAUAUAGUGUAGAGAACAUAUUAGAAUUUUAUGAUGGUUGGAUGAACAUAAGGUAGAAGAAAGGUGGUCCAAUGAUAAUUUUCCAAAUUUAAAAUGUAAACAAUGCCAGACGAAACCUUAUUGCCUCAAAGACAAGGUCUUUAUUAUAAUAUAUUUUAAUGAAUCAAACUACCAAGUUUCAUGUGCCAAAGAUUUAUGGUGAUCUUCUUAUUAAAGAUUAUUUUCUAAGUUCUAAUAUCAAACCUUGUAUCUGUGUUGCACGCAAGUUUCUGUAUUAAAUCAGAUAGGAAUCUCUGCACACGGAGUAUUUUUCAUUUUCCGUACUCGUGAUAUUUGUUAAUCCAUACAUAUAUUUUCUUGGUUUUCAUUUUCUUGAUCAAUUAUAAGAUUUUGUUUAGGAUCCGACUAUAAUGGAGAUGCUCCACCAUAUAAUACGAGCAAAAUUAUAAUGUAUAUUUUAUUAUUUAUCAAUUUAGUCAUAUAGUUAUGUAGGAGUGUUCAACGGCAUAGCAUCUCCAACAUAAUUAUUACCUUUUGUUUAAUAUGCAUUGAUUUGAAUAGGUUUUUUUUACUUUUCUAGGGAUUUCAAUAAGGUGAUGUUUGGUUGAGAGGAGAGAAUGUAGAAUAGGAAAAUAAUUUAAAUUCUCUUUUUAUUUCCAUUGUUUAAUUUGACAAAAUGUAUAAGAAUUUAAUUUCUGUUAGAAUUUAAUAUCCAUCGUAAUAUAAAAUUUGAAUUCCAUACUAAGUAGUGAAAAAUUUAAAUUCCUCUUAUAUUAGAAAAUAGAAACUAAAGUUUUCAAAAUUACCCUUCAAAUUUUUAACUUAUUUAAUGCCAUUAAUAAUUAUUAUUUAUAAUUUUAUUUUAUUGAUUUACUAUUAUAAAUGGACCUCCACCGGACCACCGCCAGACCUCGCCGGAAGGUCGCCAGACCACCGUCGGGCUUUGCCGGAAAGUCGCUGAACCUAUGCCGGACUUCGCCGGACCUCCGCCACCGGCCACCAUACCGCCAUUUUAUUUUAUAUAUAUUAUUACUAAUAUAAAUAAUUUAAUAUUUAAAGUAAAUGAUAAAUUUUUCUAAAGAAAAAAAUUAUAAUUCAUUUUCUUAUAAAAUUUUAUAUCAAACCAAACAAUAAAAUCUAAUUUUACUACUUUUCUCCAUUCCUUUCUUCUCAUUUCCUCUCCAUUCCACUCUUUUCCUCUCCUUCAUUUUCUUCAAACCAAACAUAACCUUAGUAGUUAGUGAUUUCCUCUUUUUCUACUAAUUAAUUUGGCGUUAUUCCAUGGGGCUUUGAUUUGAAUUUAGUUGCGACUUCUGAAGUACCAAUUUCGAUUCAUUUUUUGUUGCUUUCCUUGUGUAAAUCCAAGUCAAUACGCGGUUGCAAUUUUGUCUUUUGCAAUUAAUUUGGCCUAUUAACAAUGCCUUAGAUUUGACCUAGAUUUGAUCCUUUUCGUCUCAAACGAAUUAUUUAUUAGUUUUAUUUAUUAUUUUUUGUCUAUUAAAAGAUAUGUUCAAAAUUGAUUUUUACAUUUUAAUUUUUUAACAUAACAACUGCAACAAGAAAAAACGACAAAUAGAAGAAGAUGAAGUAGACGAAGACAAAGAAGAAGAUUAAAGGACAGAAGAAGAAGGAUAAGACUACAAAAAAUACUUUCUAUUUUAAAUAAAAAGUAAAAAAAUAUACUAAAAGUAUUGAUUUGCUGGAUUGGCUAAGUCACAUUUCAUGUAAUUAAAGAAUGCCUCUAAAACAUGCAAAAAGUCAUAACAUUCAAGGGGGAUCCACUUGAACUUUCCAAGAGCUGUAAGUUACAUGAAGGACUCAUUGUUUAAUUAGAUAUUGUUUAAGAGAUUAGAAAUAAAAUUUUUAGGGUUUAUGGAAAGAGAAUUAUAUAUUAAAUGGCAAGUGUGUUAUAUGAAUGUUCAGAAUCUUUAUAUGUUAGUUUAUAAGAGAGAGUCCAUAUUAAUAAUUCAUAUGAUGAGCAUUUUUGUAAUAAAAUAAUUUAUUAAAAUAAGAGGUACUCAGAAUUAUUUUUAAAGUACAAAUAAAUUCACUCAAACAUAAUUUAGUUUUUUUUCCCUUCUGAAACUCACUCUUCAGUUUUUAUCACUGCCAUAACUGAAUGCAAUUUCAAGAACCUAAAGAAUAUAGUCCUAAUGAUACAAAUGAAAUUUCAAAUAAUAUCAUAAUCCUUUCCUGAUCUAAGCUAUUCUGAACUUGUAAAAAUCUUGAGCCAUCUAUCUUUUAACGUUAAUGUAUAAUUAAGAUUUAGGGCCAGAUUGGUAAUAUUGUAAUUUUUUUAAAUAAUUGUUAUUAAUUAUGUUAUAGAAAUAAUCAGCUAUAGAAAAAAUCAGUUAAACAUUUAGUAAAAUUUACUUUUAAAAGUGCUGUGAUUUUUAAAAGCAGUCGUAUGUUUUUGUAAAUUUUACUAUUAAAUUGUUAUAAGAAUGUAAAUGACUAAAUUAGAUAUAAUAUUGAAUAAAAUUUAUUUAUGCAUUUAUAAAUAUGUUUAUAAAUUAUUUUAUUAUUGUGUAUAUAUUAUAAUUAAUAACCAAAAUACAUAUUUUAUGUUAUUAGUUUUAUUUAUUAUUUUGUUAUCUCAAUAUAAUUGAUGAUGAUGAUGAUAAUGAUAAUCUCAUUAAAGUUAGUGAUUUUAUUUCUAAAUUAAUAAGAAUAAUUUUAAAUUUUUAUGAUACAUAUGACAAUAUAUAUACAAUUGUUUUAAGUAUAAAACUGAUUUUUAGAAUCAAUAUUAAAAAGCUACGACUUCCUAAUUAUUCAAAAUUUGCUUUAGGAUAGAGGUGAUCUUGGUAAAAGUGAUUUUUAAAAAUUUUUAUCAUAUACUAAAAUUAAUUUUUAUUUUUUAAAAAUUACUUAUAAGCUUCCCAAAAAUAAUUCUAAAAAAACCCUUAAUCACUUUUAUUUUUUAAUUUAUUAACUACUCGCCAUAAAAAUAAAUUUACUCAAACACACACACACACACACACACACACACACAUAUAUAUACAUACAUAUAUAUAUAAAAUGAGAAGCUCAUCACCAGCAACAUGGCAAGUCGCGGUCCUGUUGACCUAUAAGUUAUAUAUAUAUAGAUAGCUACAAAUUUUUUUAUAAUUUUUUUUGUAUAAAUUGACAUGACAUGUUUUAAUUAUUUAGAUUAGAUAUCUAUUGGUUCGUAUGAUUUAUUUUAUUAUUUUAUAUUUUUAUUCAAUUAAUGAAUUAAUAUCAAAUCAAUUUGUAUAAAAUAAAUUUAUUUAAGAGUUUAUGGUUAUUUGUAUAAAAUAAAUUUAUUUAAGAGUUUAUGGUUAUAAGAUCGAUCAAUGUAUAAGUGGGCACUGCAGCCUCGUAUGCCAUGUGCACUUUGAUUCCUCUUCUUUGAAAAAUGAAAAUGAAAAAAAAGGUAAGCAUCCCAGAGGCUCCUUUGGGCUCCACCGGCAAAACCAUACCUCUUGUAGGCUUCGGCACGGCCCAAUUUCCUUUCGGAGCAGCCACUGAAGUAGUAAAAGAAUCCGUUGUGCAUGCAAUAGAAGUCGGCUACAGACACUUCGACACCGCCGCAAUAUACCAGUCCGAGCAGCCUCUUGGGGAAGCAAUAGCCGAAGCGUUGCGUCUUGGGCUCAUCAAAUCACGCAAUGAGCUCUUUAUCACUUCAAAGCUUUGGCUCGGCCACGCACACCGUCAACUUGUCCUCCCUGCGCUACAAACUUCUCUCAAGUAACUAAAUUAAAUUAAUUACAAGCUAGCUCAUUGCCUAGCUGCAGGCAAGUAUCAUCUAUGGUUUAAGGUUGACUGAUUGGUUGCUGACGUUAUUGAUAAUUUAUUUUUGCAGGAAUCUGGGAUUGGAGUAUAUUGAUUUGUAUCUGAUUCAUUUUCCGGGAAGCUUGAAGCCUGGAACAGGGUUCCCAUUCAAUAAAGAAGAUAUUGUGCCACUUGAUUCUGAGGCUGUUUGGGAGGCCAUGGAGGAGUGUCAAAAUCUCGGCCUCACUAAAUCCAUUGGAGUCAGCAACUUUGCUUGCAAGAAACUUGAGAGGUUACUUGCUACUGCCAAAAUCCCUCCUGCUGUCAAUCAAGUGAGUCCAAUAAUCUUGAUUAAUUAUAUGUAUUUCAAAUUUAAUUAAAAUAGAGUUGUCUAAUUAUGUUUUAAAAUGAAGUUGAAUUCCCUCCGGCUGUCAAUCACGUGGGGCGGUGUCACUAUGUUGCCAUGUUCAGUCAUAUAUUAACACUUGGAAGGAGAAAUACAUAAUAUUAAUGUUGAAAUCAAACUGUACUGUAUAAAAUAUUUCUCCUAUGGCAGCUGAUUUAAGUUAAAAAUAUUAAUCAUGAUUAUUUGGGUAGGUCGAGUUGAACCCAGUUUGGCAACAAAAGAAGCUGAGAGAUUUCUGCGAGAAGAAAGGAAUUCAUAUUACUGCCUACUCGCCAUUAGGAGCCAAAGGAACAAGAUGGGGAACCAAUCGAGUCAUGGAAUGUCAGGUGCUGAAAGAGAUUGCAAACGCUAGAGGAAAGUCUGUUGCUCAGGUAAUUUUUUCUUUUUUUCAAAUUUUUAUUCGAGUUUGACAAACAUAAUUUGGUUGUAAAUGCUCACUACGUGGCACAAGAUCGAAGUGGCAUCUUUUAUGUUGAUCUUGAUUAUAAGGUUUGUUUUGGUGCGCUUGAAGGUUUCUUUGAGGUGGGCUUAUCAGCAAGGAGUGAGUUUGGUCGUGAAAAGCUUCAAUAAAGAAAGAAUGAAAGAAAACCUCGACAUAUUUGAUUGGGAAUUAAGUGCCGAGGAGCUGCAAAAGAUCGAACAAAUUCCACAGUAUAGAGGAAGUCGCGCUGAGGUGCACGUGUCAGAGGAUGGUCCUUAUAAAUCCUUGGAGGAUCUAUGGGAUGGAGAAAUUUAAUUAAUUUAACAAUAAAGACGCAAUUAAAUCAUUAAAUAACUUAAUUUAACGCAAAGUUUGUUCGAGUGACACUAGUUCAUAUUAUGUCUAAAUACCUGCGAAGAUAAUCGUGUUACAGUUUUUUUUUUUCUUUUUUUUUCCCUUCCUUUCCAGGUUCUAUAUGUUAAUACCCCAUACUUCGUCCUAAUCUUUUCGUUUGUAGGCUUUUCACAGUAAUACGUAUUGCAUGUUAAUCAAUAUUACAUUAUAACUAUUUUUUUUUUAAUUCUACUACUAUUACACCUCCAUGGCAUAAUAAUUUAAUUAGUUUUAUUGCCGUCGUUUCAACAUGUGCCGCUAUUGCAGAAAACCGUUUGUGGCAAGGUUAGAAAGUUGUCAUUUAGUAAAAUAAUUUAGACCUGUUUAGUAUUAAGAUUGAGUAAUUAUAACUUAAAAAAGUUGCAAUACUACCGUGUUUGGCAAAAAUUAAUUAUUUUAGUUUGAAAGUUAAAUUAAUUUUAUCCACCAUUUAUAUGAUAAAAAACUUAUAAUAUUUCUAUUAUUUUUGUUAAAAUGAUCAUUGAAAAUUCAUAUUUACUGUAUAUUAUUAAUUUUUAUUUUAUAAUUACAAUUUUUAUUUCCUAUAAUAGCUAUAUCUUAAAAGCUAUAACACUUCAAGAUCAAACAUGCCUUUAAAUUUGCCUUCUGAUAUUCUGGUUGGAGUUUUCAAUUUAUGUUGUGGUUGUAAACAUUAUGUGGGGGUGAUUUGAAUCUCAUAAUGUAAAUUUGCUAACGCAAGAUUUGCUCUCUGUGAGGCAAAACAUUAUUAGGCAGUUUUGACAGUCUAAAUCUCGUAUUUUGAACAUGAAAAUAAAUUAUCUGAGUCUACGUAAAUAAGACAAAUAAAAAUUAUAAUUGUCUUCUAACUUGAGCUUCUUUACCUAAAAUUACUAGUCACUUUGGUCAAUAACACAUAUAAAAUAUAUUGUUAAAGUAAGAGUAAUUCUUUUUACAUCUCUUUAAAAUCCUUAUAUAACCCCGUUUUUAGUCCUAUUGCUAUUAGAAGUUACAUUAACGGACAAUAUGAAUUUAAUAAAACUAAAAUCAUUACACCUACAAAUUAUGAAUCCUCCCAUCUUUAAAUCCUAAUUUAUGACAUAAUUAUUAUUAUUUUUUACAAGUUCAAAAUAGAUUUGAGAUAAUGAAGAAAUAAAACUACCUAAUGAUAAGAUUUUUAUUUUAAAAAGUAUAUUUAAAAUUUGAUUUACUCUAUUAUAAUGUUUUAUCCUUUUUCGUAAUUUUUAAUAGUAGUAAGUGCAACGAAAAAAAUAACGGGGCUUCGCAAGAGUUUAAAAGGGUUUUGAUUGCAAUUAAGAUCCGAGGCCCAAAAGGGCCUAAAAUGUGAGCCCAUUAUCAUCAGGAGCUCUCGAUAAAUGAAGUUCUUAAAGGUUUCCAAAAGCCCAAUGGGAAGGUCAUGUGUAGAGGCUCCCAUUUCAGUCCUUGCCCGGAAAGAAACACUCGAAGGUUCUCAAAAUGGCAGGCUGGCUUGUGGCAUCUGUUUAAGCUAUUUUACGGUAGGAACUGUGAAGCGAAUUUGCAGAUGUCAAAAUAAAAUUAUAGUAUGUCAACUCGAAAGUGAUGGUGAAUUUAGAAGUAUUUGAUAAAUUUUGAGUCUCAUAUGCAAUCCAACACAAAUUAAAUCACUUUAAACAGUAAAGAAGAGAGUAAAAUAAUUAAAGUAUUGUAGAGGGUUAAGCGAAAAUAAAUAUCUUACAUGGUUAGAUAAUAUUGAUAUAUGUUCACAACUCUGAAAGGUUAAAAAAAAAAAAAAAAUUGUACAUGAGAUAGUGUUCCCCACACUAUAGAUAGGACGACAAAAUUUUUAUUUUAAAUAAUAUAAUUCCAUUUAAUUAAUUUGUGAGUUUCAUUACUGAAGUGGCGUAUUUGUCCGACCUUUAAAAGAAAACAAUUACUUUACGUGGAAUCAGGAUUUUGUUUUAGUUAGGGUUGUUGCGCAUAAAUUAUAAACUUAAGUAGCCUAUAACAUAAAAUUAAUAAAAUUGAGAAGGCCGAGCGGCCAACAAGGCAAAAUUGAUACUGUAGGACCAUAAUGGGGAAAUUAUUUACAAACUUAGGUAGGCUAUAGAAGAGUAAAUGUAAAAACUAGUGAGCCAUACAUGAAAAUGUACAGAAGUUUUUUAAAUUUCAAUACAGUCACUCAAGUUUUUUGGACAUCAUAAUAAUAAUAAUAAUAAUAAUAAUAAUAAUUACGACAUAUUUCAGCCUCCCGUGUCUAAGCCAAAUGAACUUCAAGAUUAUUUUUUGGCAAAAUAAUUUUAUACGUGCAGGGCUUUAAAGGUCUUAUAAGUAUCAUUUUUGAAACCUUAGAACUCCAUCCAUCCCUUUUACUUAAUUCAACGAACAAAACAAGUAAUUUAACUUAAUCUUCUAAGGACUGUAUUAUAAAAACCACACAAAAGACUAAUCAAUAUUUUCUCACAUGUUUUAGGAUAAAAAAGAUCUUUUAGAGGUAAUGCCACUUUUCAAAAUAUUAGGAGACUGGAAGCAUUUGUUCUAAGGGUUAAUUUUGAUUUACCCCUAAUAAAUUGAUUAUCUUCAAAAUAUUUAUUAUAUUAUUGUACACUUCAACCUACCCUUAAUUACCAUCGAAAAUAUAAGAGCAAAUGGGGGCUCAUUGAAAAAAAAAAGUCACAGCAAUAAUUGGGCGUAAAUUGAAUUUUUCAAGAGUUUGAAGAUAUUUUGAAGAUAGUCAAUUUAUUAAGGGGUUAAAUUAAAAUUAAUCGUGGUUUUAAUGUAAAAAUAUAUAUACAAAUUUGUGAGAGAAUACACUUUCAUAAAAUUAUAAAGACAACAUUAGAAAUUAUCCUUUAUUCUUUUAGAUACAUCUUUAAUUACUUUUGAGAAUAAAAAAUAAAAUUCACUUGGUUAGAUGAUUCAUGAUUCUUUCUCUCUCUCUCUCUGCCUUUUUUUUUGGGUGUCGAAACUGUACAUGUGUGCAUAGCUUUAUGAAAGUAGGGUAGUCUUUUUGUAUCUCUCCUUUGCUUGCACUGCAUGUGGGAAGAGAUUUCGUAGCCAUCAACUAAUGGAGAUUAGGGCAUAGAGACAAGGUCACUUUUUGUAUAUAUUUUUAUCGAGUUUCCAUUCUAUGGGUUGGGGGAAUAUGUUGAGGGCACAACUUUUACCUGGCUGUCAAAGCUGAAAGCAGAAACCUUUUUCUCUCUUAUUAUGUAGUUUUAUUACUCACCUUUUCCCCCUCUGUUUCAAAAGUAGUAAGCCCCUCCAUCUACCUUUUGCGCAAGCAUAUAUAUAGAUAUUAACAAGUGUAUCAAUGAUGUCUGUAAUGUGAUUGAGAGAUCACAGUAUUUUAUUAAUAUAUGUAAUUAAUUUUCCACUUCAAAUGAACUCCAAACACUUCACCUUAUCAAAUUAACCCAAGAAUUAAGCCCCUUUAAAAAAAUAAAUAAAUUCAGAGACAGUGCCCACGUGGUCUUGAUUCAUUUUGGUACCACCACUAUAUCAAAAAUCCAUGUUCUCGAACUCUUUCUGUCACUUUUGUUUGGCAAUUUAGCUAAAUUUUGCACCCUAAAAACCACUUGCAAGAUCUUGGCAGAUGCAGAAUGCGCCAUUAAUGAGGAUUCGACCGAUCACAAUUCACAAACCCCACCCAAAUGUCAUUCACUCAUCCCUUAAUGUUUAUAUAUGGUAUUGGAUAUAUAUCCAAUUUUUUAUAAAAAUCUUUUAAAAUGUUGCUUUCUGUUAUUAUUUCGACAGCAUCCUUUUUAGCAAUAUAUGACGUUGCAAAUUCCAUUGUGAUACGUAGCAAUUAAUGGUACUAUUAACAUUCAAGAUUGUGGAAGCUGGGCAUAUAUCCAUCCAUCAAUCACGCUGUACCACAUAUCUAAUAGACUGUCCAGAUUAUCAAAAUACUCUCUUUUAAGAUUAGGCAAGAUGUGUGUAUAUAUAUAUAUAUAUAUGUAUGUAUAUGUAUGUAUGUAUGUAUGUAUUUAUGUAUUAUAAUUAUAAUUGAAAAAAAGAAAAAGAAAAUUGGUCAGUCACGAUGUAGAGGCACGAAGCAUGUACAAUUAUUUACACGAUUGAUCCAACAAUUCACAUGAAUUUAAAGAGAAGAUAGUUAUUUUAGCUCAAAUUGUAAUAUUUGAAUUCAUUGAUAGUUAUUCGUAUGAUUUACAUAAUAAAAGAGAGUAAAAAUUACCUGGGUUAAACUAAGUAUAAAAGUCCAAACGAAAAGUUAAAAAGAAAUUAAGUCAUAUAAUUAAGAAGUGUAAGGUUACACAUUAUGAAAGAUACUUUGGUGCGGAUGAUCCAUAUUUGAAAAGAAAAAAAAUACACAAAAAUAAACUCGCGUGCAUUAAAAGAUAAACAGAAAUGUUGAAUAAGAGUUCGUGGUUUAUGUUGUUUUAGCCCGGUCAAAUAAUCACUAGAUAGCUUAUGUUAUUUCGCUAAUUUGGUUCAUUUUAAAUUCAAACCCUUCAACUAAAUGAAACCAGUGGACACAAAAAGCAAAAUGAAAAUAAAAAUAAAUAAAUAAAUAAAUAAAUAAAUAAAAAGGGCUGCAUUAAAAGGUGAAAGAAAGAUGAGCACACACAUGGUCCCAAAAAUUGCAAAAAAGCAAGCGAGAAAUGGAAACACUUUUUGUGCACCUUCAUUCUGACUUCGCUUUUUGCUUUGGUUCAAAUCGUGAAACAAUAUCAACAAACCAAACACAGCCUUUUACACUUAUUAAUAAUGCAUAAAUACACAUAGCAAACCAAUAACGCAUGUAUGUGUAUAUAAAUAUAUUUUUCCUCUUUCUUUUGAACGUGAAAAUGGAUUCAACUGAGAGUAAUUAAAUUUGUAUUGGCCUUUAAAUUGAUGAAAGAGUCAUUGUAUCUGAAGCCCUCUCUGUUUGCAGACUCUGCUGGAGCUGCCUCUUUCACACAUUCUGAUAAAGUAGUGUUACUGAAUUUUGAGAGAGAAAAAAGUUUUUUUGGUGGGUUCUGAAAUUUUUGUGUGUUGUUUACGUUUGAGAGGGACUAUAGCAAAGCCUGUAACCAUUUCAACUGUGGCACUGAAAAACAUGGUGUUUUUAUAAGCAUUUAAAGAGACAACAAAUGCUAUGAAAAUGACAUUGCCCUUUUCCUUUUUACACUCACUCUAUUUCUAGGCUCUAUAUAUUUUCUUCUCUCUCUCUCUCUCUUCUAUAGCAUUGAAUUUGAGUUGAAAUACCAUAGGUCAGCAUCUUUGAAUGGUUCUUCCUAUAUUUUAGCAAAAUGGUCCCUGGAUAGGCUAAAGAUGUUGAACAAAUCUAUAUAGUCCAUGGGUCAUUCAUUUAGGAAGCUUCAUUGGAAAAGGUCCUGAUCUAGCUUAGCAUGCAGCUAUAUAUAAAAGAACAUAAUUUGAAACCUUCAAACUACGAUUUUCUUUUUUUAAUUUUUAUCAUUUGGGUAUAAAAAAAAAAAGCAUUAUAAGUCUGAAUAGUAGGCAGCAUCGUAUAUAUUGCAAAUGUACGAACAAGAGGGUUUAUGCUUUUAAUUCUUAAGUAUCUUUGAAAGGGUACAGGUUCAUAAUUACUGUAUUAAAGCAUUUAGGUUUGCUCCCUCAGUGUUUCAUGAUUGCACUUUCUGCUGAAACAAUCAUUAAAAAGAAAAAUAGAUGACCAAAUUAAAGUUGCAUUAAUUCAAACUUAACGGUCCAAAACAAAAAGAAAAUAGUUCAAAGAUGGCAGAAAGGCAUGCAUUUUUAUGUAUAGAAGUGAUUAUGCUGCUCUAGGAUUCUUCUAAUGAUUGAUAUUUUCUUUUCUACAGUAAGUAAUUUUCCUCAUGGGGCGAAGAAUAUAUUCUUUCAUUUUCUAUCAAGUGUUCAUCAUUAUAUGUUGUCUCCAUUCUCAUUCAGCACAAAAGAUAAAAUUUCAAGCUAGAGGAUUUUACAAUAUCACUAUUCACUUCACUGCGGCAUCACCAAUAUUGAAACCCAUUAUAAGGCUCUUGCUUCUACAUCCACUAAAGAAAUGAAUUUAUAUAAAUCAAUUGAAGAACAGCUUACACCCCCAUCUAGCUACUUGAAAUCUCCACAACAUACUUAUUUGGUCAGAAUAAGUACUUGCAAUAAGGCAAGAGAAAAUGAACAAUCAUACACAAAAACAAAGAUUAUAUAAGAAGCCUGUUGAAAUAAUAAGGAACUUAUCUUUUCUUUUUUCUUUUUUCCUUUUUUUAUUUUGAGAGUAUAUGGUUCAAGACAAUUUCUUCAUCAUCACUCUCCUUCUCCUUCGGUAGUUGCUGAGGACAUGUAACUCAUGGCAAGAGAGGUUUCAUCACAAGGAGGCGCCAUCGAUGUUGAUGCUUGAAAUUGAUGCUUGCAAGCUUGGCAAGUAACUUGCAUGAUAGUAGCACUGAUCUUCUUUGUAGCUUGCUCUUUCAAAGCUAGAGCCUUUUCAAGUUCAGAUUGUGCUUGUUGCCUAAUCCUUUUAGCAUUUGCAAACUCAAGCUCGGCCAUCUCUAUCUGCCUCUUGGCUUGCUGUCUAGCCUCUUCAGCAUAUGCCUUUUCAGCCAUGGCUAACUUUAGCUGCUCGUUAGCAAACUCUUUCAAUUUUUUUGCUUCCAACGAAGGCUCGCAGGCAGUUGCAUCCGAACUGAUGAGCUUAUUUGAUUCACUGUUUUCGCCGCCGCUGUCACUUGACCCAAUAGAAAGCUUCAAAUGGGUUGCAUAGUUUUCAUACGAAGUUCGUGUUGCAUUGGAGUUCGAUGAUGAUGGUAGCAGCUGAAGCUCAAGAUUGUGUUCUUGUUGAUGAUCAGAGAUUGAAGCAUUGUUUCGACUAGAGUACAAGAAAAAGGGCUCUCCGGGCUUUUGCAACGGCAGUCCUGGCAAAGCUGGUGGUAUGCUGAAAUUGGCAUCACUCGAUGGACUCGUACUUGAAGCAGUUCUUGAUGAACAAGCCGGCUGAGCAUGCAUUGCCUGCGAUUCAGGCUGCUGGACUCGCUGCAUAGUGCAAGCAUCUUGGUGUUCGAUGAAACUCUCAACCCUAUAAAAGACAAAAAAAAAAAAAAAAAAAAAAAAAAGAAAAGAAAAGAAAAGGUUGAUUGAAAGUGAUGAUGGAAUUUUCUUAUUGCUUUUAAUAAUCAAAUGACCAAGUAAUGGAAUGGAAGCAAUAAAGAUUUUUUAGGCUAGCACAUGUAGGGUUACCAAGAAACAAACAAUAUAAAAAUGAUUAAAGAUCUGUAGAAUAGAUUAUGCGACUACGUUUACUAUAAAUAUUAAAAUAAAGUAAAAGAGAUUAUGAAAUGGGGUCUGUUUGUGCAAAUGCGACUGUUUAAUUUGUUCUCUGUGGAACUGGCUUUUAUUUUAGCUAUAGUAUUAGCCACAUAGAAUUAUUUGGAAAUAGUCAUGCAGCUAGUACAGCCCCUUGAACUUGGAUUGGCUGGCAUAUGUAGAUCACACCACACAAGAGGCAAGAAAACAUGAGGUCCAGUGUACUAACCAAAAUCUUUCUUGGAUUUAGAACAAUUAAUUACUCUAGCUCCUUUAAAGAUAACAAAACAGAAGCUUUAGCUUAACUAAGAGCCCUGGUGAAUCGAGAUUUUGGCACGAUUUCGUUAGGAUCUUAGGGUUUGAUUGAAAGAAUCAAAAAGGGGAUAAAUUUAGGAGAAAGAGAAGGACCUGGAAAACACUCGGCCACAGUCACAAGAAUGGCCUCUAGUACCACAAGUUUUGAGAUGUGCUUUGUAAUCAGAUUGAACAGCAUAUCCUUUAUUGCACUUGUCACAAACCCACUGCUUGUGGUUGCUGUGCUUCCUUCUAAAGUGCUUUUUGAUACCAACAAGAUCUCCCAAAGCAUGACAAGGGUCAUGGUGCAAGCAGCUUGGCUCUGGACAAACAAAAACCCUCUUCCUCACUUCUUGUGUUUCUCUCUUCAGCAACUUCCAUGGCACCUUGUGCCUUCUUCUAUGCAUUUGCAGGUUUUGGUCUCUUUGAAACCCUUGGUUGCAGAUCUCACAUACAUAUCUGUCUGAUUCUAACAAGGUCUUGGGUGAUAAAGAAACCACCUCUGCAUCCGGAUCUAUGCGUGUGUGUGUAUAAAUAUUAUAGAUAUAUAUAUAUAUAUCAAACAAAAAACGAAAAAACAAAAAUUAAAACUUGAAAAUUCACCUUAUUAGAAUUGAACCCAUAUACGAUAGAAAACUGAAAAAGAAAGCUACCUGGGGUGCCUGCUGGUUUUCUUUUCCUUUUGUUAUGAAUAGCGAGAGCACCAUUUUCUGAAGAGGAGAAAGGAUCAGAAGAUGAAGAAGGAUCAAUAAUAUUGAUGUUGUUUUCUAACAUGGGGUUAGAAUUUUUGUUGACUAGCAAGGCGAUACUACAAAGUGGUGGUGAUGCAGGAAUAGCGGCCUUUGUUUUUCAGCUUUACUGAUAAAAGAACAAAAUGGGUGGAGAGGAAGGGGGGGAAAGAGAAAGAAAAGAAGAAAGCGUUUUUUUUUUUUUUCCUUUUCUCACUUUAAGUUCUUUUCACAGAGAGAGAGAGAGAAGAUGAGGAGGGGGAGAGGAAGCAAAAGCUCUUGCUUUCUUUCUGCAAUCAGCUUUCUUUAAUCUUUUAAGCUUUUAAGCUCUUUUAAAUUUUUUAUAAAAAAAAUUGGAAGCUUUUUUUUUUGUUUUCAUUGACUCCCCACCCUUCUUCACCUUGUUUUAGUGUUUGUGAGGCUAAGUAAGUAGUCCAAAUUUUUUAUUAUUUAAAAAAUAAAAAGCAUUUGUUAUUUUACCUCAACAAAUACUCUACAGAGAGAGAGAUGCUGUAGCUGACCCAAUCAGAAAAGCUUGAAACUUUGAGCCCAGUCCCACUCUCACAGAUGGUAUUUGGACAGAAACAACAAAAAAACAUCCAUUCCCAUAAGAAAACAAACAGUCAUUAUUCAAUCACACACUGUAUAACUUUGCAUGUAUAACUGCAGGCCCAGUGUCACCUCUCUCUCUCUAGUCUACUUUACUCCACUGCACGUGACCUCACUUCCCCCUCACGUGACCUUAUUCCCCCUCCCCCUCCCUCCCUCUCUCUCGAACUCAAAAGUAAAAUCUCAAAAUGAUGAGUACUAGCUUACUGCAUUUGUUUAAUCAUUAUACUGAAGUAAACCCUGAUUAGUUUUUUUUUCACAUUUUCUUUUUGAAUUAUCGGCUUUUUCAAAAGGUAAAGGAAGCACGAUUAGUCACUUUCAAGAGCGAUGCAAUCAUUUCUUAAAACCAAAGAAAACGUUAACAAAAAAAAUAUUUUACUCAUGAUUUUCAUUUUUUCCGUUGGGGUAAUCAAAUCUAGGCACAUAUUGCCGCGUACGUUUGUUUCUCUAGAUUAGACUUCAAUUUUUUUUUUUUUUGCGGUAAUUAAACUUGUAGGUGAUCAAUGGAGAAAGAAGAGAAAAUGAGUAAAUAAUUUUGGGGCCAAUUUCAAAUGCUUUGACAAUUUUUUUUUUUUAAAACAUUUUCUUUUUUGCUUUAGACUAAUUAGCAGUAUGUUUGGAUUGUAAUUGAUUAUCAAAUACUAUUGUUACACUUACAAUCUUAUAAUGUAAAAUUUGUGUUUAACUGUGUGUGAAUUUUGAUGCUUGGGUCCUCGCAUAUAUAUCUCCUCAUGAAAGUAAAAUAAUAAAAUGAAUAACCCACUUAACAUAUAACAAUUUUUUUUAUAGCGUUGCACCAUAUGUUAUGGUUGUUUCUCGAAGAUUGCUUAGUGUUAAAAACUUAAUUUUAUCCUUAUUUAAAUAGGAAACAUGAAUACAAGUGGAUUUUGUAGUCCAAUAAGAAAACUUGUAUUAUGAAAAUUAAGGAUGGGUAGGUUGGAGUUCCAUCACGAAUAAAAAGUUAAGGUUAAGAUUUUAGUUCCUUUCUUAUUAAUGAGUAGUUUAUUAAAAUAAACAAGGUAAAAUAAGAGCCACACCCACUAAUUUAUUAGAAUCACCAUCAACGUAAAAACAUUUCAUUGGAAUGAUUGCAAUAAUGAUAAUAAUAAUAAUAAUAAUAAUAAUAAUAAUAAUAAUAAUAAUAAUAAUAAUAAUAAUAAUAAUAAUAAUAAUAAUAAUAUCGUCCUAGAUUUUAUCUCUAAAAAAUUUUCUCCGUUACUUAUGCUGUUAGCUAUUUUGGUGGGGUCAUUGCCAACUACAUCUUUCAUUUCUUUCCAAAUGAAAACUAGUUGGCUUUUCCGGGUUAUAAAGAAUAGAACAUUACUACCAACAAAGUGUUGGCUCCACUGGCAAUGGAGUCCCCUUAAGUGGCUUGACUGGGUUUGCUCCCCAGUUCGAGUCGCAGGGAAGUCGCCUUUGUUGGGAGAACCUGUGCCUCCCGGUUCGAGCGGGGACUUCUAGUCUGGGUUGUGGUACGGGCUUAAAGGUGCUUCCCACAGUUGGGACCCUCCCCAGGAUACCUCGUGAUUAAUAUAAAAAAAAAAAAGAAUAGAACAUUACUAAUUAGAAACCUUCAUAUUCCUCUCCUAUUAUAUUGUUAAUAGAAAAUACAAAUGCUCAAGCUAGCACAAAAGAAGUAAUUGCUUCAAGACAACAAUAAGAAGCUUCACUGAAGUUACUACUCAUUAAGUACCGCAAUUUAUUAUUAUUAUUAUUAUUAUUUUUGGUUGUUGCCCAUGAGAAGAAGAGAAAGAUUAAAGAAGUUUCAUAAGUAGUCUUAACUCUUGUUAUAGAUACUUCUAUAUAUGGUAGGGUAUAUUAAUACUUGAUCGUAUGCGAUAUUCAUGUUUGACCUCUGUUGACAUUCACAGUGAAACCGCCGAUGAUUAUAAAGUUAAUGAAAGAAUAUUAAUUCUAUUCACUUACCCAAAUAGUUAAAUAAAUUAAUUAAAUUAAAUAUUUGACGAUUUUAUAUAUAUAUAUAUAUAUAUAUAUUUUUAAAAAAAAGAGUAAUUAAACAAAAAGUAGAAGAUGCUUAUACCUGAUGUCGAGCUGGAAAGAAUGGGAAGAUGGGAUUCCAACACAUGCUGCUGAAUCGAAAAAGGUAAGUAGGCGGCAAUCAUCCCUCCCAAGUGCUGUAGAUUCCAAAAUCUAACAAAGUUUUUCUUAAUCCAAAAUUAGACAUUGAAAGCAGCCCCCAUUGGAACAGAAAAAAAAUGAAAAAAAAAAAAUAAUUGUGUGGACUUAGGCUAAAAGUUCAAUCAGGUUAUGCUCAUUUCAAUGUAGCUUCAACUUUACUCUUCAAAAUUCACCCAUUUCUGGUGAAAGCAACCAACAUCCAACAACACCAUAAAGUUUGUCCAUGUAAUAUUUUACUGUCACGUCCUAUUUAGUUACUCAUAUAAGGAUCAAGAUUCCACCUAAUCAAUGUUUUCUUUCUGAGUAAGAUAUUAGGCCUUUAUUAAUCAUUAUUCAAAAAAAAAAAAUUAAAAGAGAACAAAUUUUAAUAGUAAACAAUUAAUAAUGCAUAUGCUACGAGUAAUUUUUUUUAAUUACAUGAUAUUAAUAUUGAUAUAUUUACAAUUAGACAAUUAAGGGGACUAACUUUACAUUAAAUUUUAUAUAGUACUGCCUAGAUUUUAAUAAUCUCUAAUAUUUGAGGGAACGUAUGCUCUAUUCAUAUUUUGAAAGGGAGAAAAUUGCCUCCACCAAAUUAUUUUUCAUAUUAUGCCACAAUCAAUUCUUAAAAGUUGAAGAGAGCUAAAAUUAUGAGAGGGUUUUAGUUUCCUUCAUACAUACCAAGUAUAUUCUUAAUCGUCUAGGCUCUCUAAAACUACAUACUAGUUGAACAACAAUCUAUAUCAUUUGUGGGAAGAUAGUUGAGCUCCCCGUCUACAAUGAUAUAUGUUUUCCUCUAAAUAUUAAUGAAAAGUUGAUUGAGUUAUUUGAAAUUCGAAUAUUUGAUAAAAUUAACUUAAGGAACUCUUAGUCAAAUGUAAUAUUCGAAAAACAAAUCUGGCUAAAAUAUAUUUUCCUUGGAUGAUAGAGGUUAGCUUUUCUACCAAAGGGAAUCAUAUCUGUUUGAAUAAUGGUUGGUUAUUAAUUAUUGCAACUAUUUAUAACGCCCACAACUUCAGUCAUGUUUGUUAAUGAUCCUUUAUUUUUAUUUUUAUUCUUCUCUUAUUUUUAUGUGACACGCCAGCUUCUGCUUUUGUUUGCACAAUAUUAUUCAAACAAUAAAAAUAACAAGAUUCGGAUAUGAAUUUUUUGAUUUUCGUAACCAAGAGGAGAUUAAUUUUGAGAAUAAUUAUGAAAAAUCCGAAACAUAAUUCAUGCAUCCCUCAAUAAUGUCAUGAUGGGCUCUGCAAAGCAAUGGGGCCCGUUGUCAUUGCACUGAAACCUGAGGCCUUUGUCUGGUUUAGUUUUGUUGGUAUCCAAAGACAUGAAGUCAUCCAUAAAUUGUACUCACUGAAACCCAAAAAAAAUCAAGAAAAAAAAAAUUAUAAACAAAAGAAUUAGAUUACAAGAUCCCAUGACAAAUAAUAUAUAUAUAUAUAUAUAUAUUCGCUAAUUGCUCCACACACAAACACCAAAGCGUUGGCUUGCAUUUGCGGCAUAAAUAGAGAAGAUUUGUUUGUUUGUUUGUUUCUCUAACCUUCAUGGAACUUUCACUUUUGUUUUCUAGGCAAUUUUUGGUUGUUUGUUUUUGAAAGAAAGGGAGAGAGAAAAAGAGAGAGGCUGACAAUUUGUUUGGUGGGUUAUGUCAGAGGCUCUGAAAAGCAAACGUGCCUUGCGUAAUAAUAAAAAUAAAUAGCCAAAAAGAUUUAAAAAAAAAAGAAAAGAAAAAGGUUACUUAAAAAAAAAAAAAUUGUAAAAGGAGGAGGACGAUAAAGUAAAAAUAAAGACAAGACAAAAUUGCUUGGUAACAUGAUAGCCGAGUUCCCGGAAAGUCAAUAAAGUACCCUUUAAAAGUUUCAGCUGAUCAAACUUCACAGAGACAAAUAUACCCCAUUCAGAGACCCUUAUUUUAACUUGUGUAAGAAACAUAAACCACUCCUUUCCCAAAAAAGAUAAAAAAAAAAAAACCAUAAACCAUUUUCCUAUCCUCUCUAUCAAAGAUUUGCGGCGGGCUUGGUAAUAUACAGUCCGGUUCGGUUUAGGUUGAGAAUCGAACCGAAAUCAAAACUGAAGUUUAAAAUAGAACCAAAAAUUUCAGUUCGGUUCAAAUUGGUUUUGUUUUAUUUAGUUCCACCUGUAUUAAAUUUAAACUACAAACACAAUAUUGCAUAGUAAAACAAAUAUAGUAAUGCCAACUUAUACAACAGUUUAUUCAACAAUCACCCAAUAAGUUAAACAAUCUUGAUUCAUUCAACAAUUUUAUUCAGAAAAUACCCAACAAAUCCAGUAAUCCCAGCUCACAAAAUAAAUAUAAUUAAGGAAAAAAAUAAUUCAAGGAACAACAAAUGAAUAUAUAAAAAGGCAAAUAUUGCUCAACGCAAGUUACACAACUCACAACACGACGGCAACGGCAGGCUGGUGCCGACACAACCGACAACAAGUGGGAGGCGAGGCUACGAAUAAUGAAAGGCAAGGCUGCAACGACACUAGUGCGACAGGCUAGCUGAGGCGAUGAUGAUGAUGAUGAUGAUGAUAGCGAGAUGAACGGCAGAAGGGAUGGCUGACGAGUAACAGUGGUGGAUACUGUGUGUCACUACCCGCGCGAGUGGGAGUAUGAAAGAGAGAGAGUGAGAUGUGAUUGCUUAGAUUUAGAUUUUAAUUUUUAGAUUUUAAUUUUUAGUUUACUUGUUUAUGUUUUUAAUUUGAAAGAAAGAUUUUUAAUUUUAUUGAAAGAACUAAUCGGUUUAUGGGUUCAGAUUGAUAUUGAGCCGAAUCGAAUACAAACUAAUUGGAAUUUUAAAUUAUGAUUUGUUUGAUUUUUGUCCUUAUAAUCAAAUAGAACCGAGAAAUUUCAAUUUCAACCGGUUCAAUUCAAUUAAAAAAAAAAAUCAAACCAAAUACGCACUUGUAAUUUUCAAUCUAGAAGAGUUAAGAGUAAUGAUAAACAUCUCAAAUUUUUUAUUUUAAAUUUUAUAAUCAUUAAUUAAGUGGUUGAUAAUUUUUUAUAAAAUCUAAGUAAAUUAAUUUUAUUAUCUUAUCAACUAAUCGAUAAAUACCACAUUAUUUAAAAUAAAUUUUUUAAAUUAAAAAUUUUAGAAUAUAUAGCAUUUACUCAAAGUGCUAAUACCCAUUGACCCACCAAAGACUCACUUUUUAUCUUAAUUUUAAAAUUCUUUCUUUCGGUGUUUUUGCUGGAUCUGCAAAUAACCAAUGGGCCUGCUCAUGGGCUGGAAAUGGGCCAGAAGAAUGCGGAUCCUAAAGAAAGGUGUGAGAUCUCAAAUGCACCCUAUAUGUUCCUAAUCACAGCCAUUUUCUCCAGCUUUAAUUGUUCAUGAAUCAUCAUGACCUUGAUUGACAUUCCAAAUUCGAUUCUACAAGCAAUCGCAAGCCAAAAAGGCAUAAAUUAUGAUGAAGAGAAAAUAAAUCUAAAACUGGAUGCUCUUUGAUGCCGAAAAAGUAUGAAUCAACAUUCUUUCUUGUAUUAUGGCUUUAUUAUUUUGUACAUUGUAUAUGGGCUAUGGUAAAGAAGAUAGAUGUACAAUCUCUUGCUCGCACCGAUUGCAAAGAAAAAUAUGGGGAAUUUCCUCAUUGUUAGGAAUUCGAGCACACUGUGUGUGCUGCCAAACUUCACAAAUAUCGCAAGAAACCAUUCUUUCACCAUCAUCCUCGUCAGCACCGCAAGCACAUUCUACAACACAAUUUACCAUCCCAUUUUCAUAUAUUUGGCCAUAAACAAUUCCUCUCUCGCUGUUGCUUCCUUCAAAAACAAUUCUUCUACCCACUUCAACAAACCCACAAACCAAAUCUGUGCCAGUGGCAUUCACAUUCACUAUUGAUUCGAUCACGAAACUCCUCAAUCCCCAAUACAAUUCUCUGAAGUUCCUUUGCACUUCUAGCUUAAGCUCAUCAACUGUGGCAUUGUUCUUUAUUGUGACACAUUCGUAUGGCUGCAUUGCGCUAUUGCUUCGUCCUCCAUUUGGAUUUUCACCGUCUCUUAAUAUAACCGUGCAAUACAGCUUUAAUUUCCCUUCCAGGUCCAAUCCAGGUUUAGUAGAACAAACCUGGUCUCGACAACAUUCUUUAACAAAGUAUUUGGUGUCAAGAAUUAUCCUGGAAGCCACUGAUAUCCCACUGAAAAUUCCUGAGCUCGUUGCCGGCUUUUGAUCAUGCAGAAUAAGCUUGUACAAAAUGCGCACGUCCUUCAUCAAUUGAGCCACUGAAAUCCUGUACCGAGUCUUUGUCUUUGAAUUGCCGAGCACCAAAUCCUGUUCAGGAAAUACAUUGGAAAUAUCUUCCAAGCAAUACUCAAGAACUUUCGUCACAGGAUUCAAGCUGCGGCGAACCAAAUAUUUCCCCACUAUGUGGUUUCCAAGAGAUUUCAGCACGAAAUCUAGCAAUCCUGUGUCACCAAUAUAAGAACGAGCAACAUCCCUAACUUCUUGCCUGGAAACCCACCUGGAUUCAGCUCUUUUCAGUGAUUCAACGAUCACUCGAGUAGCCAUUUCGACUCUCUUGGCAGACCAUCUACAGUUAGUUUCCACUAGGAUUCCAGGAUUGUAAGAACCAAAAUUACAAUUUUCUUUCGGAAGCCUGGACUUGAGGUCCAGCAAGAAAUGGAAAAGAUCACCAAGCGUGGCCAAAAAAUGGUCCGAUAGUGUCUGAUAUCUUGUGAAAAUGAGUGGAAUGUCUGGAUUCAAAUGUCCGAGGUGAUUAAGAAGCAAGCACAGAGGCAUGCCCUGUAUUGCUUCUAUUGCUUUUUGGUACAUGGGUUGAGUAACACCAAAGCUGCCACGCCCAAAUUUGUAGCCCCAUUGACCAAACCAUGACUGGCUAUAUGCCACUACAUGAAGAAGCCUCAAUUCCAUGCCUUUCUUCCUUGAAAUGUCAUACAAACUCACUUUCCUACCAUGUAAAUGAUUAUAAAUUUUCAUCAAUCUUAUCACCAAAAUGAUAAAACAAAAAAAAAUAAAAAAUUUCAUAACACCACGAUCGAACCUUGCUUGUAAUCCGCUACACAAACGAUCCCAGAAAUCCAUGAUCUGGUGUCCGGUCAAGUCCGAACCCGUUUCAACACCAUUGACACACAGCAAAUGCCCGAACCCGUUUGAGUGGAAAACACCAUGCAUGGCAUGGCCCUGUAGUUGCAUUAAAUUCGACGACAUACCAGCAUCUUCACCUUCAUUGCCUUGGAAGUUUAAAUAAGCAGCAGCCAUGUUCUUUGAGGGCAAAAUAAAAUGAUACUUCUUAAUACAAACCAUAUGGUGUCCCCAGCCUGUUGUAUGAUUCAAAAACUUAAGUGGUGCGACAUAAACAAAUGUUCAUAAUUAAAUAAAACACUUAAUAUAUAACUAUUAAUAAAGAGAAAUAAUAUAAGAAAUACAAAAUAUACGGACGGCAACAAUAUUAAUUAAAGAAUUAGGACAUCACCAACGUAGCGGCAGUGCUUGCAUUGAUGAUCCAUUGACGCCUCAACUGGUUCCUCGAUGACAAAUAAAAAGACAUGGAAUGGAGGAUGGCGACGGACUUCAAGUUGAAAUGACCAACAAGGCAUUCCAUUACAUAAAUUUCUGUGUAUUUGUCCAAAUUCUAGAAGAGCUUCCACGUUAUGCCUAAAUGCCCCAUCAAACUCAACUGGGUAACCAUUGUCACCAAAUUUCUUGAACCUAAACACCCUCGAUUCUCCUCUCUUCCUCUUCUUACUGUCAAAAUUCAACAUCCCGAUAGAGAUUAAAGAAGAAGAAAGAGGAGAACAAAAUGAAGCUAAAGAAUCAAGGGAGACCUUAGCCUUAGAUAUAAUGGCUAGCACUUAGUCACACACUUAGUGCCAAGAAAUUAAUAAAAUUGGAUAGGAACGAAAUGACACCAUGCAUCAAUCUUAUCAAAUUGAGAUAUGGAUGGGUCACUAUUUGCAUGAGUUCUUACAAAAUAGCCUCCCAUGCAAAUCUAUCGUGCCUAUGUAUGCCAUGACAUGCAUUUUUGAAUUUGAUAAAUGGUAUCAUGCUUUGAUCAUGCUACCAUUUGACCAAUUUAAAUCAUUUUACGGCCCGGCAAAUUCUGUGGUCAGCUGGGUUAUGUUGAUUUAUUUUUUAAGAGAGUGAUAAACGCAACACUUCUUGGCCAACUACUCGACGAAAAUAAAGUUUUUAUUAUUAAGUUUUCGAAGCUUGUUCUAUGAAUCACAUACAUUACAUUAAUUUAACGAAUUUUCUGAAUUUCAAAAAUUAGUUUAAUAAACUAACUAACGAAACAAUAAAGACAACUAAUUUAUAGAACUUUCUUUUUCGAUAACUUGGUCGUUUUGUUUUGAAAGUAAGAGGCUGAUCACAAUUUGUCUUCCGAGUUCUGUUAAGGUUUGAAAAGCAACGAGGAUUGAGCAAGUCGUAAAGUGGCAAAGGCUCUACUUUAGGAGAAAUUCUACCAUAUAUUAGAGAUUUUAUGUCACAAUCUGAUGUGAAACUACGAAAUAAUAAUAUUAAGACAUAUGGCAAUAAAAAUUUUAAAAUUUUAAAAUAUUUUGUAAUAAUUUCCUCUUUUCAUUAUCCCCAUGAUUUUCAAAGUAAGAGACAAAAUAUUAAAAUAUUUUGUAAUGGCUGCUGGUAUGGGUGUAUAGAACUUUUUUUUUUUUUUGUGGGUGAAUUGUUAAUUAAUUUAAUACCAAUUUUAAUUUGCCUAAAUAAUGAAAUUAAAGAAAGCAAUACAUAAUACACCCAAAAAAAAAGAAAGCAAUAUAAGUUUUUGGUCAUUAUCCUUGGCGUUGAUUUGGCUUCAAAAUGGGGCUGGAACUGUAAAUUGAAUUUUCCACUUUACCAUUCGCUUCUUCCCUAAGGUUUAAGGAAUGAAUGAAGCUAUGAUUGUACCCGGAUAGAGAUGAUGGUCCCCCUUUGAUGUCUCCAAGCUGGCCAUAAUAGAAUAGAAGGAAAUAGAUAGACGAAGCAGCCAAUUAAUUUGAAUUAUUUAAAGGAAUGGGAGGUGUAGGAUCUGUACGUAUUCCCAAAUCGAAGCUUUAGACUACAAGAUAAUGGAAAAUGAUGCAGUAAUUGGAAUGUUUGACACUAGAAUUUGAGGAGAGUUUGAAAAUUUUAAUAAAAAUGGCAGCACUCAUGUUUCAAAAGUCAUCUUCCGUCAACAGAAAUCUUCUCCUUCCUUCGUAGUAAAAAAAUAAUAAUAAUAUCUAAAAUCAUCUUCAUCAAUUAAAAAAAAAAAAUCCUUCUUCAUCAUGUUUAAAAAAUGGCAGCUACUAGAACAAAGAUGAUGGAUAAGAUUUUUGUGGGGGCGGGGGGGAGAGAAAUUAUAAAAUUUUUUUUUUUGAAUACUGAUUAAUCAUCAUAUUACUGCAUUACAUAGAUAUUUACAACUGCUAUUAUAGCAGAUAUAUUACACUGAUAUUUACAAUCAGAAAUACAUGAUUAAUCAUCAUAUUACUGCAUUACAUAGAUAUUUACAACUGCUAUUAUAGCAGAUAUAUUACACUGAUAUUUACAAUCAGAAAUACAUGAUUGGGACUUAUAUUAUUACAUUGAAUUUUGUGAAGUACAUGCCCAGACAAAUAAUCCCUUACAGAAGAGGGAUGUCCAUACUCCACUCGUAUUGCACGAGGGAGAGGAAAUUUUUGAAAUAUUAAACAAAUAAGCACGUUAGCCCCCACAAAUGCUUUUGUGGGGGCUUGAACCGCUGCCCUCACAAGCCCUCACAGCCCACCACUCCGACCAAGGCCGAAGUGGCGAGAAAUUAUAAAAUUGAGUUAAUUAAGGGGGAGAGAGAAAAAUUUAAUGUUUGUUACUUUCAAAAAUUGAAAAUUUUUAUUUCAAAAUUUGUUUUUAGUUUCUAUUGCCACGUGUUUAGAAAUUAUUAGUAAUUAGUAUCAUAUCAGAUUAUGACAUGAAACCUCUAAUGUACUGUAAUAUUUUUCUUAAUUUAGGCUGUUUCAUUAUUUGACAGGAGUAGUAACAUUUGAAUCCCUUAAAUAAUUUCACAAGUCCUAUUUUUUAAUUAAAAGUAAAGAAAAAUAAAAAUAAAAAUUAGCAAACGUCUUAACUAACUCGGUGAUGAUUUUUUUUUCUUUUUUAUCAAUACUCGACAAUGAAUUAAAAGGUAUUUCAUUCAGUAAUGUCGUCAAUAUCAUCUUAAUAUUAAAUUAGGCCAAAAAUUAAAAGAAUUUUAACCCAUUGCGACAAAAGUAGGGAAAGGGGCCUUCCUCCGAGGGCAAUCAGUCAAGCAAGGAGCUACCAAAUUAUCAUAAGAGCCGGGCAUUACGUGCAUAUAUGUAUGCAGUUGCAAGAAUCACACAGGAUGCAAAGGAUUUCAGUUUUCACGAUCAUAGGCAAAUCCUUAUAUAUGGGUUACGACGUGGGGAAUGUGCACGCGUAUAAUGAUAGACAUCACAAUGUUUUAAAAUAAUAAAAAUUAAAAAGCAAUUAAAAAUAAAAUGUUGUUUAAUACAAUGAUUGAUUUGGUGAUGAUGUUGAUGCCUCAAAAAAAUGAGAGAGAAAAGGAAAAAUAAAAUAAAAAGACAUGUUUAUUUUUAUUUUGUUCGUAAGGAUAUUUUUGAAUAUAGAUAUAAUAAAUUAAAAAGUCGGGGCCGUUGAGAUAAAUCGAGGAGCUCAAAUCGAUUGAUUGGUACUAUUGCCACCCCUAAAAAAUCUUCAUAAAACCCCGCUUCAUAAGAUACUCGUUUGGUUAUUUUUAAAAGUACAACAUCUCUAAUAACACAUAAUGUCAUUUUGCCGUUGCCACCCCAAAAGUUCCUCAUAAAACCUCGCUUCUUAAGAUACCCCAUUUGGUUGUCUUGAAAUAUACAAUAUCUAUAAUAACACCUAAUUUAUUUUGCUAUUGCCCGCCCCGAAAAAUUUCUCAUAAAACCUGGCUUUUUAAGAUACCCCAUUUGAUUGUUUUGAAAAGUACAACAUAUCUAAUAGCGGCUAUUUGGUUUACUAUUAUCACCCCUAAAAGUUCCUCAUAAGCCCCAGCUUUCUUAAGAUACCCUAUUUCGUUGUUUCGAAAAGUACAUCUCUAAUAACACUCAUUUUAAUUUUAAAAAUAACUCUGCUCGUUUAUUUUUACAACAAAAUUUCAGAAUAUAUAUUUUCUCCCUCUAGAAAGCUGUUGACACUUUCACUUUCUACAUGACUUCCCCAAAUUUAAACAAGAACAAGAAAUCCAAAAAAUUUUAAACAUCUAGAGUUAUUUUCCAUUUAUUCUUCAACCUCAUCCUUCUCUUUUACAUAGGUGCUUCUUUGAAAAAAAAGUAGUUUGAUACAAGUUUAAAUACUGCUUUGUUAUUGAAAAUCUCUUGAACAAGACUACUUAAUUUUGCAGGACAUUGAAGAAAUGAGAUUUUAUUAAGACAUCUUCUGCGUUUAAAUAUAAUUUCUUUAAAGUUAAUAUGCGUCUGCGUUGAAGAAUUGGAUGUAAAAGGCAUCUUUCCCCCACACCACCCCACCAAAUAUAAUUGUUAUUAGGGUUAAAAUAAAGUGAGGGGUUUUUAUUAGAAGUUUGUAGGGUAGUGAAGACGUACGUAAUUGAUGAAAGAGAAGAUAUGAGCAUGAAAUAUAUUGUUUUUAGAGAAUAAAUUUUGGUAAUUUUUAUUGUGAAUGUAGAAAUGACUUUCAGAUAAAAGGAGGAAAAUGAAAAUAAAAUCUCAUUCUAAUACUUUUGAUUUUAAAAGAAUAGGAUCAUAAACAUAUUUGCCAUGUUAUUCAUAGAGAAAUUAUCUAAUAAGGGAUUUCUUAUUUUAUUAAAGUAAGUGAUAAAUUGGAAGUUAAGGGAAAAAAAAAGCACGCUAAUGUAAUGAGUUUUGUCUUGUAAUGUAUUAAAAUUUAUAUUAUUUUUCUUUUAAUUUAGUGCUAACCACAUAUGAAGUAGGAAAUCCUCGUUAGAGGUGGACUCAUAAUAAAUUUUUGUUAAAUGUAUAUUCACCACAAUAAAAUACUCAUAUAUGAUGGUCAUUACAAUCGGAAAACUAAUCAUACGUGAUAUAAAUUUAUUAGAUAAAUAUUCUAAAAUUAUAUUGUUGUGAGCUUUUUCUUGCAAAAAAAUAAAUAAAUAAACUAGUACAAAAGAAUGUUGUGUCUUUGUUUUAGACCUUUAAAAGUUGUAGAAUGGGUUUAAUCAUUUAAAAGGAGUCAAUUUUUUAAUAAGGCUUGGAAAUAAGACAACCUUUUCAUUACAACUAAUCAACAAUCUUUAGUGACCUCUAAAUCUCGAAUAACUUAUCCACAAAAUCUCAAUCAAUUGCAUCAUAUUCUUUGCUUGUGUUUGACUUUAUGAAGAGUCCGAUAAGAAAUGCUUGCUUUUUUGCUUUCUUUUCCACAACACUACAAAAGUUUCCCAAGGUAGAGGAAUUUUAACAAACUUGGAAAGCCCAUGGUGGAAAGGCAUGAUGCAUUGACACCAAUGCCCACUAUUUUAACCACAAAGCCUAUGAGGAACUCAAAAUCCAUUUACAAUCGCAGCGGUAAAAUAUGUCUUGUCUAUAAGUUUACUAAUUCAAGCCCAACCCAAUAUUAUAUAUGAUUUUCAAUGCUUUUGAACAUAUUUAUUGUAGUUUAUUUGAUUAAAUUGAUGUAAAAUUUAUUUGAUUUGAAUAUCUCAAAAUAAUUUUUCUUAUAAAAAACAAAAUAGAUUUUUUUUUUCAAUUGUUAGAAACUCUUUUUUUUUUUAGUUAUUGUAGAAAAUUUUGCUGGUAGUAAAUAAAUUCUUUUUGAUCGAUAGAAUUAAUACAUAAUUUGUCUUAUACAAAUAAAUUUAAAUUUUUACUUACUCUUUUACUUGAAAAUAUUAAAGCACCUAUAUAUAGUAUAUCAUUUAAGGCCUUUGAAUUCCAAUCCUCCAAGGUAAAUUUUUAUCAUUCAUACCAUGAAAAUUCAGCUCAAUCUAUUGCCCAAUUUGGUUUUCCACCCUUUUGAAAUUAUUUAUUGCUCAAAAACAAUAUACCAAUAAAUUAACUUUCUAUUUGAAGAAUAUUAUAUAUCUUACCAAAAAGUAAAUGACAAAAUCCGAAAACUAAACAACAUUUUUUGCAUUGCUUUUGAACAUUUAAUAUUUAUUGAUCCAAAAUUUCACCGUAACAGCUAACAACUCUCCAAUCUUAAUCCAACUUCAGUCAAGCAAGAAAAAAUAUACAUAAAACAAUGGUCUUAUUUGACUAAUUGAUUGGAAUACCAUGGAUGUCCAUGUCAUGAAAAGAUAAAAAUCCCCAAAUUUGUCAAUGAUGUUUAAAAAAAAGAAAAAGAAUUAAGUGGGCACCUCAAAUUGCUAGGGAAAAAGGAUAAGAAUUAGCCCUUUUGUCUUUGUUGCUGUUUGGCAAAUAGGAUAUGGCACAUGUGCCCUACAACACAAUACAACAUUGCUUUUCAGAUAAAUAGAUAAUAGAUAAACUCUCUUGGAUUUUCUUAAUUUUUUUUUAACAAGUUGAUAAAAUAAUAAAAAUAAAAAAUAAAAAAUGAAAAAAAUAUAUAAAGAGGUAUACCAAGGCUUGACAGAUACAUAUUUUUAGGUCUCUCUCAUUCUCUUUCUUUCUCACUCUCUCUCCUCUGUCUUUCUCUCUCUUAGGUUUGUUUCUCUCUCCUCUCUCUUCUCUCUCCCAAUCUCAAAGGUUUCUCUCUCCUCUCUCUUCAGAAGGGCAAAACCCUAAAGAGCCGUUUACAACACCCCAAGUAAGUUUUCUCUCUCUCUCUUUCUUUAUCUUCCUCUCUUUCUCUCUCAUCCGCCCUCUUUCUAUAAUUUGAAUAUAUGGGUCCUUUUGUACUGUUAAAACUUCCAUUUUUAUACCUAUUUUUUUCUUUUAUUUGUUUGUGUUCUUAUUUACAUGCUUACAUAUUUGGAAUGCUAUUUUCUGACAUGAACAUGCUAAGAUCUAUGAUUUUGAGUCUCAGAUUCGGGGGAAAAAUGUCUAAUUUGUAGAAACUUUUCAAUUUUGGAGGCUAUAGAUUGCAGAUCUGCCGAUGGGUUUUCAUUGGGGUUCUGUUUGGUUACGGGGAAAAUGUGGGAAAAUAGGAAGUGGUUUGAAUCUGAAAGAUACCAUUUUUCUAACCGGAGUCUAUUUGUUUGCCAUUGUUGUUCAUUUGGGAUUAUUGAAGUUUCCAUUUUGUUGUGGAUCCAAGAAAAUGGAAAAUAUAUUGACAUUUUUGGAUCUCCAUUUUGGCUUUCUUAAGGAAGUGCAACUUUCAUGUGGGUCAAAGCUGUUUCCUUUGGCUGAUUUUUGUAGCUAUGGUUUUUUUAAAUGCUAAUGUUAUGUUGGAUCCGAGUUUGAUAAAUAUUUUCUUCUUGGAUUUCACUUCACAUUUUAGAACUUUAUUUGGUGUCUUGGCUUUCAAGCCUCUGUUUUCUUUUGCAUUUUAUUAAUAUGAGGCUGACAUCUUCAAUGCUAGAUCUGUUAAGAUUGUGAGAAAAUCUAAUUUCUUGCACCAUAUUGUUGCUGUAAAUUUGUAGCUUUUCAUGGAUGAUGAUGCGUUGAACAUGCGCAAUUGGGGUUACUAUGAACCGUCCUUUAAAGGGCAUCUCGGUCUGCAGCUAAUGUCGACAAUGCCUAUGGUAGACCGAGACACCAAGCCUUUUCUACCUGGUCGGGACCCUAAUAUUAUGAUUGGUGCCAAUGGUGCCUUUCAUCCUCGGGAUUGUGUGGUUUCCGAGGCAUCUAUUCCCAUGAACUACAUGAGGGAUAGUUGGAUCAGUCAGAGGGAUAAGUUUUUGAACAUGCUACCUUCGAAUCCUACUUUUGGGGUUCUUCCAGAAACUUCUGGAGCUCACUCCUUGCAAAUGCUACAGCCACCACCCAAUAUGUCAAGGGAUGACAGAUUGGCCCCUGAUAGAGUGGCACCUGACAGAAUCGUGCCUAAAGUCGAAGAACCAGUUGUCAAAACUGAAGGUGCUCCGGUAAAGAAAAGGCAAGGUGGGGGUGCCUCAAAAACGCCGAAAGCUAAGAAGCCUAAGAAGCCCAAGGAUAAUAAUGGCACUGCUGUGCAGCGUGUGAAACCGGCUAAGAAGAGUAUGGAUGU